GGGCCGGAGCAGUCCCCAGCUCGGGGGAAGUUGGGUGCUGGUCUCCUCUGGGCUGAUCCCCCUGAGGAGGAGGCGGUGUCGGUGUCUGUGUCUGUGUCGGUGUCCCAUCCUGCCUCCCCCGGGGCCUAGCGAAGCGGGAGACGGGGCAGGGCGCGGGCGAGGCCUCCGGGCCGCGCGAGCCGGGUUUCCCGGAGCGAGGAAAAGGCAGGCCAAGUGCGGGAGGGCGUCCCCAGGGAGGCGUGAGGUGUGUGGAGCCCCAGGAGCUGUGAUCAAAGGGCGAGCGGCAGCG
Molecule: long non-coding RNA, 289 nt
Organism: Gopherus flavomarginatus (Mexican gopher tortoise)
Lineage: Eukaryota; Metazoa; Chordata; Testudines; Testudinidae
Exons: 3
Source: RefSeq, a predicted model, not a curated record